RNAcentral lists this ribosomal RNA (465 nucleotides) under uncultured bacterium. RNAcentral describes it as "partial 16S ribosomal RNA". It matches the Rfam family "Bacterial small subunit ribosomal RNA", at positions 28 to 507 of the family's 1533-position model. The record is from RNAcentral.
GACGAACGCUGGCGGCGUGCUUAACACAUGCAAGUCGAACGGAAAGGCCCCUUUGUGGGUACUCGAGUGGCGAACGGGUGGGUAACACGUGAGUAACCUGCCCUUCACUUCGGGAGAACUUCAGUAAACUGGGGCUAAUACCUGAUAGGAAUCAUUGCUGCAUGGUGGGGGUGGGAAGGAUUCGGGCGUGUUGGGUGGACUCGCGGCUUAUCAGCCUGUUGGUGGGGGAGGGGCUUACCAAGGGUUUGACGGGCAGCCGGCCGGAGAGGGCGGCCGGCCACAUUGGGACUGGGAUACGGCCCAGACUCCUACGGGAGGCAGCAGUGGGGAAUAUUGCACAAUGGGCGGAAGCCUGAUGCAGCAACGCCGCGGGCGGGAUGACGGCCUUCGGGUUGUAAACCGCUUUCAGCAGGGGCGAAGCUUGUGGUGACGGUACCUGCAGAAGAAGCACCGGCUAACUACGUG